Molecule: ribosomal RNA, 725 nt
Filed under: Salmonella enterica subsp. enterica serovar Agama
Lineage: Bacteria; Pseudomonadati; Pseudomonadota; Gammaproteobacteria; Enterobacterales; Enterobacteriaceae
Description: partial 23S ribosomal RNA
Rfam family: Bacterial large subunit ribosomal RNA
Source: RNAcentral
GGGUUGUGAGGUUAAGCGACUAAGCGUACACGGUGGAUGCCCUGGCAGUCAGAGGCGAUGAAGGACGUGCUAAUCUGCGAUAAGCGCCGGUAAGGUGAUAUGAACCGUUAUAACCGGCGAUUUCCGAAUGGGGAAACCCAGUGUGAUUCGUCACACUAUCAUUAACUGAAUCCAUAGGUUAAUGAGGCGAACCGGGGGAACUGAAACAUCUAAGUACCCCGAGGAAAAGAAAUCAACCGAGAUUCCCCCAGUAGCGGCGAGCGAACGGGGAGGAGCCCAGAGCCUGAAUCAGCAUGUGUGUUAGUGGAAGCGUCUGGAAAGGCGCGCGAUACAGGGUGACAGCCCCGUACACAAAAGCGCAUGUGCUGUGAGCUCGAUGAGUAGGGCGGGACACGUGGUAUCCUGUCUGAAUAUGGGGGGACCAUCCUCCAAGGCUAAAUACUCCUGACUGACCGAUAGUGAACCAGUACCGUGAGGGAAAGGCGAAAAGAACCCCGGCGAGGGGAGUGAAAAAGAACCUGAAACCGUGUACGUACAAGCAGUGGGAGCCCCACCACUAAGCCAGUGGUGAACUCCACAUACGCAUCCUUUGCUGAGGAUACGGUUAACGGAGCGAAAGCGACGUUCAACCGCAAAAGAAGCAGAGGGGGCUUAGUGGUGGGGUGACUGCGUACCUUUUGUAUAAUGGGUCAGCGACUUAUAUUCUGUAGCAAGGUUAACCGCAU